GUCUGAGAAUUAGGCAGAUCUAUUCACGGCCUGGCUAGGCUUGUUCUAGCUUUUCUGGGCUACAGGCCUUUUCUCGGGGGCUGGCGGUGUUUGGUGCUGAUCUGCGGAGGUGUAGCCCCUCCAAAGGGCAAGCAGGCCUGUGCAGGGACAGCCCCUGCGGUGGUAGCCUUCAUGCAAUUGUUGAGUCCAGCCCUCCUGGAUGGCAGGCAGCCCCAGGUCCAGUGAGAGCAUAGGGGGUGGCGGGUGUGGGGAGAGGUGAUGCACUGGGAAGCACAGCUUUCAGCUAGCUAGUGGGCCGGUAAGCUUGCUGUGGCAUGGGGGGUAUUCUAUGGGGACCCCCCCCUUCUUCUCUCCCCUCCCCAGCACGGGCGCAGACCAGGCUCUUCUCCCAGGUUCCCUCUGAGGCAGCUUUCCACUUCCCUGCCCCUAGAGUAUUGUUCAAUUCCUCUGCGACAGCUUUGUUUUCUAGUCUCCCAGGCAGUCUCUGCCCCGUCAAAUGGUUUCUAGACCUCCCAAGCAGUUUCCGCUCCGCCCCGCCCCCCCAGCCCGGGGACUAAUCUCUGGAGCCGAGGUCUCGGUGCCCAGCCCCCACCCAGGCGUCUCAAUUUUUGGUGACUGUGCCUGUAGUUCAGAUGGUCCGUUCGGUUCUUGAUCGGCUUUUCCAUACUCCAACUUACUGCUACACUCUUCUCUGCAUCUUGAGAUUGCUCCGGUUCGUUUGAUCUUUCCCCCGUGUAGGUGACUUUCCAGGGUGCGGGAUCCUUUUCUCCUCUGCGGGAUCCUUUUCUCCUCUCCCUUUUGGGAGUGCCCGUCCCGCUCAGAUUCACCUUCUCUCACUCUCUUCUUUUCUCCUGUUCUGCCCAUAAUGUCACGAACUUCUUGCCGUUAUUGGAGUUUAGGUUCUUCUGCCAGCGAUUGGUUGCUGUUCUGUGCGAGUCAUUUAUUCUGUAGAUGUGCUUUUUUUGUUGUGUUUGUGGGAGAGGGUGAGCGUGUCCCCCUACUCCUCCGCCAUCUUGUCUGGAGUCUAUUUUACUUUGAUUCUUAUUAGGUCACAUGAAAAUUCUAUAUAUUUAUAAGUAUACAUUAUAGCUACAUUUUUUGGAACAAGAUAUUCAUAUAGGCUUUUGUUAAUAACAUAAGAACCUUAAGACCAUGAAAAAAAAUAAAAAUAUUUUCCAUGGUAGCGUUUUUUUUUGGUAACAAUGAAAACCAAGUCUUAUUUAACAGAAUUGUGAAUCGUCACAGAUAUGUGCCUGGAGACAGGGAACUUGGGGAUAAUUACGAGGACAUAAUAGGCACCAAGGCCUCUGCAGCUUGUACAUCAUGUGCUCUGGCAGCAGGCAUUACCUUCACAGCUACUGAUACUUCAUUGUAUUUGAGUGUGAGUUGUCAAUCUACAAACAUAAUGCAUGGAGAGGAAAGAAAUUAUGUAAUUAUAAAUUAGAAAACAUAUGAGACUGUAAAAUUAUGAAUUUUAAGAGAUCACUGCAAAUAUGAUAUUGCAUGAUAAUACUUGAUCCUGGUAUAUAACUAGUUAGAAUUAUUCUUGAGAGAAAGCCACGUUUCUAUAAAAAAUAAUAUAGCAGGACUUAACUCUUUUGUCAUGUGGACACCAUUAAUAUAUUCCUAACAAUUAAGUUUAGUAUUUUUAGUAUCUCAAUCUCCCCUUUUCUUACAUUGUUAGAAAAGGCACAUGGUCUAUAAUUUAGGUAGGAGAAAAUCAACAGUCCUAAGAGUUUCCAGUUCCUGGGUCUAUGUGAACAUGGUAAAACCCUUCCCAUCCUCUGGUAUCAGUUUUUUUGUUUUGUUUUGUUUUAAAUUUACGAAAUGAAAACUUCUGGGUGAUUACUUUCUUCUAUUUCUAUUGCUUA
RNAcentral lists this long non-coding RNA (1871 nucleotides) under Sus scrofa (pig). RNAcentral describes it as "lncRNA (ENSSSCG00045018681.1)". The record is from RNAcentral. Lineage: Eukaryota; Metazoa; Chordata; Mammalia; Artiodactyla; Suidae.